GAGUUUGAUCCUGGCUCAGGACGAACGCUGGCGGCGCGCCUAACACAUGCAAGUCGAACGAGCGAGAGAGAGCUUGCUUUCUCGAGCGAGUGGCGAACGGGUGAGUAACGCGUGAGGAACCUGCCUCAAAGAGGGGGACAACAGUUGGAAACGACUGCUAAUACCGCAUAAGCCCACAGCUCGGCAUCGAGCAGAGGGAAAAGGAGCAAUCCGCUUUGAGAUGGCCUCGCGUCCGAUUAGCUAGUUGGUGAGGUAACGGCCCACCAAGGCGACGAUCGGUAGCCGGACUGAGAGGUUGAACGGCCACAUUGGGACUGAGACACGGCCCAGACUCCUACGGGAGGCAGCAGUGGGGAAUAUUGCACAAUGGGGGAAACCCUGAUGCAGCGACGCCGCGUGGAGGAAGAAGGUCUUCGGAUUGUAAACUCCUGUUGUUGGGGAAGAUAAUGACGGUACUCAACAAGGAAGUGACGGCUAACUACGUGCCAGCCGCCGCGGUAAUUC
This 504-nucleotide ribosomal RNA is filed under the name uncultured bacterium. RNAcentral's name for it is "bacterial SSU rRNA". It matches the Rfam family "Bacterial small subunit ribosomal RNA", at positions 9 to 526 of the family's 1533-position model. The record is from RNAcentral.